RNAcentral lists this ribosomal RNA (309 nucleotides) under uncultured eukaryote. RNAcentral describes it as "partial 18S ribosomal RNA". It matches the Rfam family "Eukaryotic small subunit ribosomal RNA", at positions 1470 to 1796 of the family's 1831-position model. The record is from RNAcentral.
CCCUUAGAUGUCCUGGGCUGCACGCGUGCUACACUGAUUUCAUCAAUAUGUUUGUUUUUCGGAAGAACGAAUAAAACACGAAAUGAAAUCGUGCUGGGAAUAGAUAAUUGUAAUUAUUUAUCUUGAACGAGGAAUUCCUAGUAAAUGUAAAUCAUCAAUUUGCGUUGAUUAAGUCCCUGCCCUUUGUACACACCGCCCGUCGCUCCUACCGAUUGAAUGUUCCGGUGAGCUUCUUGGACUAAUAGGAUUUCAUAUCUUGUUAGAAAAAGCAGUGAACCUUGACAUUUAGAGGAAGGAGAAGUCGUAGCA